RNAcentral lists this transfer RNA (75 nucleotides) under Candidatus Peregrinibacteria bacterium. Its description in RNAcentral is "tRNA-Trp". It matches the Rfam family "tRNA". Rfam says of the family: Transfer RNA (tRNA) molecules are approximately 80 nucleotides in length. The record is from RNAcentral. Lineage: Bacteria; Candidatus Peregrinibacteriota.
AGGCCCAUAGUGUUAAUGGUAGCACGUCGGUCUCCAAAACCGAAAGUAGGGGUUCAAAUCCUCUUGGGCCUGCCA